This 477-nucleotide ribosomal RNA is filed under the name uncultured low G+C Gram-positive bacterium. RNAcentral describes it as "bacterial SSU rRNA". It matches the Rfam family "Bacterial small subunit ribosomal RNA", at positions 8 to 497 of the family's 1533-position model. The record is from RNAcentral. Lineage: Bacteria; Bacillati; Bacillota.
AGAGUUUGAUCCUGGCUCAGGAUGAACGCUGGCGGCGUGCUUAACACAUGCAAGUCGAGCGCGGUCCCUUUGGUGCUUGCACCAAAGAAGACUGAGCGGCGGACGGGUGAGUAACGCGUGGGUAACCUGCCCUAUACACAUGGAUAACAUGCUGAAAAGCAUACUAAUACAUGAUAACGUACACUGAUGGCAUCUUCGGUGUAUCAAAGCGUUAGCGGUAUAGGAUGGACCCGCGUCUGAUUAGCUAGUUGGUGGGGUAAAAGCCUACCAAGGCCACGAUCAGUAGCCGACCUGAGAGGGUGAUCGGCCACAUUGGAACUGAGACACGGUCCAAACUCCUACGGGAGGCAGCAGUGGGGAAUAUUGCACAAUGGGCGAAAGCCUGAUGCAGCAACGCCGCGUGAACGAUGAAGGUCUUCGGAUCGUAAAGUUCUGUCGCAGGGGAAGAUAAUGACGNACCCCUGGAGGAGCNCCGGC